AACGAACGCUGGCGGCGUGCCUAACACAUGCAAGUCGAACGGAAGUAGAGAGCUUGCUUUCUGCUUUAGUGGCGCACGGGUGAGUAACGCGUAGAUAAUCUGCCUGAUGAUCUGGAAUAACAUCUCGAAAGGGGUGCUAAUACCGGAUAAGCCCACGAUGACCUUGGUCAUUGCGGGAAAAGGAGGGGACCAUUUGGCCUUCUGUCAUCAGAUGAGUCUGCGUACCAUUAGCUAGUUGGUAGGGUAAUGGCCUACCAAGGCUACGAUGGUUAGCUGGUCUGAGAGGAUGAUCAGCCACACUGGAACUGAGACACGGUCCAGACUCCUACGGGUGCUG
RNAcentral lists this ribosomal RNA (337 nucleotides) under uncultured Pseudomonadota bacterium. RNAcentral's name for it is "bacterial SSU rRNA". It matches the Rfam family "Bacterial small subunit ribosomal RNA", at positions 29 to 351 of the family's 1533-position model. The record is from RNAcentral. Lineage: Bacteria; Pseudomonadati; Pseudomonadota.